This 600-nucleotide ribosomal RNA is filed under the name Salipiger marinus. RNAcentral describes it as "bacterial SSU rRNA". It matches the Rfam family "Bacterial small subunit ribosomal RNA", at positions 106 to 741 of the family's 1533-position model. Lineage: Bacteria; Pseudomonadati; Pseudomonadota; Alphaproteobacteria; Rhodobacterales; Roseobacteraceae. The record is from RNAcentral.
GUGAGUAACGCGUGGGAACGUACCCUUCUCUGCGGAAUAGCCACUGGAAACGGUGAGUAAUACCGCAUACGCCCUUCGGGGGAAAGAUUUAUCGGAGAAGGAUCGGCCCGCGUUGGAUUAGGUAGUUGGUGGGGUAAUGGCCUACCAAGCCUACGAUCCAUAGCUGGUUUGAGAGGAUGAUCAGCCACACUGGGACUGAGACACGGCCCAGACUCCUACGGGAGGCAGCAGUGGGGAAUCUUAGACAAUGGGCGCAAGCCUGAUCUAGCCAUGCCGCGUGAGUGAAGAAGGCCUUAGGGUCGUAAAGCUCUUUCGCUGGGGAAGAUAAUGACUGUACCCAGUAAAGAAACCCCGGCUAACUCCGUGCCAGCAGCCGCGGUAAUACGGAGGGGGUUAGCGUUGUUCGGAAUUACUGGGCGUAAAGCGCGCGUAGGCGGAUCAGAAAGUUGGGGGUGAAAUCCCGGGGCUCAACCUCGGAACUGCCUCCAAAACUCCUGGUCUUGAGUUCGAGAGAGGUGAGUGGAAUUCCGAGUGUAGAGGUGAAAUUCGUAGAUAUUCGGAGGAACACCAGUGGCGAAGGCGGCUCACUGGCUCGAUACU